UACGAAGGGGGCUAGCGUUGUUCGGAUUUACUGGGCGUAAAGCGCACGUAGGCGGAUCGUUAAGUCGGGGGUGAAAUCCUGGAGCUCAACUCCAGAACUGCCUUCGAUACUGGCGAUCUUGAGUCCGGAAGAGGUGAGUGGAACUCCUAGUGUAGAGGUGGAAUUCGUAGAUAUUAGGAAGAACACCAGUGGCGAAGGCGGCUCACUGGUCCGGUACUGACGCUGAGGUGACGAAGCGUGGGGAGCAAACAGG
RNAcentral lists this ribosomal RNA (253 nucleotides) under uncultured bacterium. RNAcentral describes it as "partial 16S ribosomal RNA". It matches the Rfam family "Bacterial small subunit ribosomal RNA", at positions 524 to 776 of the family's 1533-position model. The record is from RNAcentral.